This 506-nucleotide ribosomal RNA is filed under the name uncultured bacterium. RNAcentral's name for it is "partial 16S ribosomal RNA". It matches the Rfam family "Bacterial small subunit ribosomal RNA", at positions 30 to 523 of the family's 1533-position model. The record is from RNAcentral.
AUUGAACGCUGGCGGCAGGCCUAACACAUGCAAGUCGAGCGGCAGCGGAAAGUAGCUUGCUACUUUGCCGGCGAGCGGCGGACGGGUGAGUAAUGUCUGGGAAACUGCCAGAUGGAAGGGGAUAACUACUGGAAACGGUAGCUAAUACCGCAUAACGUCGCAAGACCAAAGAGGGGGACCUUCGGGCCUCUUGCCAUCAGAUGUGCCCAGAUGGGAUUAGCUAGUAGGUGGGGUAAUGGCUCACCUAGGCGACGAUCCCUAGCUGGUCUGAGAGGAUGACCAGCCACACUGGAACUGAGACACGGUCCAGACUCCUACGGGAGGCAGCAGUGGGGAAUAUUGCACAAUGGGCGCAAGCCUGAUGCAGCCAUGCCGCGUGUAUGAAGAAGGCCUUCGGGUUGUAAAGUACUUUCAGCGGGGAGGAAGGCGGUGAGGUUAAUAACCUUGCCGAUUGACGUUACCCGCAGAAGAAGCACCGGCUAACUCCGUGCCAGCCGCCGCCGGAC